CCUACGGGAGGCAGCAGUGAGGAAUAUUGGUCAAUGGGCGAGAGCCUGAACCAGCCACGUCGCGUGAAGGAUGAAGGAUCUAUGGUUUGUAAACUUCUUUUAUAUGGGAAUAAAGUGAGGAACGUGUUCCUUUUUGUAUGUACCAUAUGAAUACGCAUCGGCUAACUCCGUGCCAGCAGCCGCGGUAAUACGGAGGAUGCGAGGGUUAUCCGGAUUUAUUGGGUUUAAAGGGUGCGUAGGUGGUUAAUUAAGUUAGCGGGAAAAGUUUGUGGCUCAACCUCGCUCCGCCGUUGAAACUGGCGUUCUUGAGUGGGCGAGAAGUAUGCGGAAUGCGUGGUGUAGCGGUGAAAUGCAUAGAUAUUACGCAGAACUCCGAUGGCGAAGGCAGCAUACCGGCGCGCAACUGACGCUGAAGCACGAAAGCGUGGGUAUCGAACAGGAUUAGAUACCCUGGUAGUC
Molecule: ribosomal RNA, 459 nt
Filed under: uncultured bacterium
Lineage: Bacteria
Description: partial 16S ribosomal RNA
Rfam family: Bacterial small subunit ribosomal RNA
Source: RNAcentral